RNAcentral lists this long non-coding RNA (378 nucleotides) under Carica papaya (papaya). Its description in RNAcentral is "long non-coding RNA (CPAP_LNC013314)". The record is from RNAcentral. Lineage: Eukaryota; Viridiplantae; Streptophyta; Magnoliopsida; Brassicales; Caricaceae.
GUCAGGAUAAUUGUUUUCCUCAGACCUCUCUGAUCCACUUUCAAUUAUUUCCCGCCUCCGGCUUGUCACCACUCUUUGAUGAUAUUCUUCUUCUCAUCACUGUCUGUGUCUCUUGCUUCACUUUCUUCCCUAUGAUCCUCAAUAUCUACUUCUUGGGAACUUUGUUCCCUUUCACCCUCACUUUCUCCAGGAUCAGGUUCUACAUGUAGUUCACCUUCACUCUCCACUUCAGCCUCCCCGUGCCCCUCCACUUCACCUUCACCCUCAGGCUCCAACCCUCCCUCCGCUUCAUCCUGAAUAGGGAUGUAUGAGAAAAAAAUUAUUAUUUAUUCAAACACUAUGUUUUGUAGGACUACAGCUCCUUUUGAUUUGGCAGAG